UCCAGAGGGUGCGAUCGUUAAUCGGAAUUACUGGGCGUAAAGCGUGCGUAGACGGUCAUGUAAGUCGGGUGUGAAAUCCCCGGGCUCAACCUGUGAAUUGCAUUCGAGACUGCGUGGCUAGGGUGCGGAAGAGGGAAGCGGAAUUUCCGGUGUAGCGGUGAAAUGCGUAGAUAUCGGAAGGAACAUCAGUGGCGAAAGCGGCUUCCUGGUCCAGCACCGACGUUCAGGCACGAAAGCGUGGGGAGUAAACAGG
Molecule: ribosomal RNA, 253 nt
Filed under: uncultured bacterium
Lineage: Bacteria
Description: partial 16S ribosomal RNA
Rfam family: Bacterial small subunit ribosomal RNA
Source: RNAcentral